AAUAAACAUUGAACAACAACAAAUUACAAAAUAACAAGUAAUCUAUAUGCUCUCAGCCCUCAAGACCCCUUCACUGCCUCGCAGCCCGGAGACACCGUCUCUUCAGCCCCGCCCCUUCAGGUGCAGCAGGCCCCGCCCCUCCAGGUGCAGCAGGCUCUUUCAGAGGAGAAGCGGAGCGUGGAGGCGGAGCUUCAGCGCUGCCAGGAGGGAGAGAGAGAGGCUAAAGAGAGAGUGCAAAGGUUGGAGCGUCUGGUGGAGGUUUUGAGGAAGAAGGUCGGGACAGGAAGUGUCCGAGCUGUGAUGUGACCUCUGAACCAGGAAGUGCUUCAUCUCUCUUUCCUUUUGUUGUCACUGAUUAUUAUUUCAGUUGAUUUGAAACGUCUUAAAGGUGACUGUGUGUUUCUGUGUAAUCAUGUGAUCUGAUUUGAAAAUUAAAGUGAAAACAACCUGCAUUUUUUAAAAGUUUGUGAUUAAAUCUUGAUUUGUCGUUGUUAUGAAAUAAAGUUUUUAUAAUUAUGUUGAUUAGAACAGACCUUUUUUAUUUCCUGUUGGAUUGUGCAGCGCCGCUUCCUGUUCCGAGCGCUGACCUGAAUAAAGUCGUCUCUUUGUC
Gymnodraco acuticeps is the source of this 610-nucleotide long non-coding RNA. RefSeq lists it as uncharacterized. The transcript is spliced from 2 exons. The record is from RefSeq and is a predicted model, not a curated record. Lineage: Eukaryota; Metazoa; Chordata; Actinopteri; Perciformes; Bathydraconidae.